AGGAGCUGAGCUGGAGGUAAAGCCAGUGCCCACCACCCAGACCCACACCUCCCCAACCCCAAGGGAGAAAGGUAAUUUACUUAGGCAAGAGCCAGGUGAGCUACUGGAUCAGUGUUAAAACUCCAAGCAGCCCCUGCAUAGUGGAUAGCUUGUAGGUGAAGAUGGAGAAUGGGAAGAAGGCCCACCUCUCCCUCAAUAGGCAGCUCCUUCCCACUUUUGGGAUGGAGAAUAGCUGCGGUUGAGUUUGGCUUGGGAGGCUCAGUGAGUUAGUUAGGACCCCACCCCACAUAAUUCAGAGUGUGUGAGGCUGGGUGCAGUGGCUUACGCCUGUAAUCCCAGUACUUUGGGAGGCCAAGGUGGGAGGAUCGCUUGAGGCCAGGAGUUUGAGACCAGCCUGGGAAACACAGGGAGACCCCCUCCUCUGCCCCAUCUCUACAAAAAAAAAUUUUUUUUUUUUAAUUAGCCGGACUUGGUGGCCUGUGCCCAUUAUCCCAGCUACUUGGGAGGCUGAAGGGGGAGGGAUUGCUUGAGCCUGGAAGGCUGAGGCUGCUGUGAGCUGUGUGGUUGGACCACUGCACUCUAGCCCAGGCAACAAAGCAAGACCCUGUCUCAAAAAAAAAAAAUAAUAAUAAUAAUUAAUGAAAUUUAAAAAAUACAAAAACAAACAAACAAACAAAAAACAACCCACACAUUGUUGUGUGAGAGCAGGCCCGGGACAGUUUUCCAGCUCCCAAGGUGUGCACCCUGGUCGGUAAGCCCUGGAUUUGUUAUGUGAUCUUGGGAAACUCAUUUGGCCUCCCUGGUCCUCCGUUGGUUUCCUUAAUAGAAAGUUAAGGGGUUGCACUAGGUCAGUGGUUCUACAUAUUCCUCCCUAACAACCUCUGACUCCACAAAGGUAACCCUAGGCAAGCCAUGGAGGGGAAGGGUCCCAGUGAGGGGCCUUAGAGACUAGGAGGAGAGGUGCCUUGGGGGACAAACGAGAGGGCCCCUUGGAAAAGGAAGGACACUGGCCUCUGGACAUUUCAUGCUGAUGGGAUUCUGCAGCAUGGCUGCCCUUUAGAAGUGAAGAGCUUUGGCCAGGCUCACACCUGUAGUCCCAGCACUUUGGGAGGCUGAGGCAGGAGGAUUGCUUGAGCCUAGGAGUUUGAGACCAGCCUGGGCAACAUAGUGAGACCCCAUCGAUAUUUUUUUAAAAAGAAAUGUGGAGCUUUGUAAAAUCAGAAUUGCUUUCCCCAGACCUACUGAUUCAGAGUCUUGCAGGGAUAGAGACUGGAACUUGGACUUUCAGAAAGCUCUCCAGGACAUUCUAAAGCAGCAGAGAUUGUGCCUGUGAAUAGCCACUGCACUCUAGCCUGGACAACAUAGUGAGACCCCAUCUCUGUAGAAGAGGGAGAAGGAGAAAUAAAGUAGCAGGGGCUGGAGAUCUAAGAUCUGGGCCCACUCAAGGUCAAGGUGCUGCUGACCACCUCUUUCCCAGUUGCCCCCUGGCCACAGUGGAGAUGCCCAUUCCAGGAGGCAGCCCCCACCUCAAAAGAAAGGAAAAGAACAGAAAAGAAAAGAAGAACAAUGGGGUCCAGACUUCAGCAGGUCCUCCAAGAGCAGCCGACCUCCUGCUUCCAGGUGUUCCAAGUGCAUCAGUUCACACACAUCUGUUGCCAGAGCCACAAGUCUAUCGAGAUCCUGAGUGGAAAUAUCUCCAUCAUUUAGCUGGUGACAGAGGCAAUACCAAGAACAGUGUACUUACAAUCGCUAGAGAAAAACAUUGAAUGGAUUUUGAAUAGCUGCAGAACGGCUCACACAGUGCACACAAAUUCAUUAUCAGACUUGGCUCCACUCCUUUCAGGCGUGCCUCAGGCAUGAUAGGUUUCUGAAAUUUGCAUUCCUAAAUGGAGGAUGCUGAUGCAGAAAGCAGGCAGCCGAGAUGGGAUUGGAGGAGGGAAAGAUUCACAAGUGAGUUGGGUGGCGGUUGCUAGGAAAAGAACAAUGUUGGUUGGAACUGUUGAGUUACAAUGACAGAGUCCCAACUCUUGGCGGUUGAAGGAGAAAAGGAGAUUUACUGGCGUCAUGGAAGAGCUCAGAGUGACUCUGUGUCUUACAGAGUCUCUCUGCAGCCCCUGGUUCUGCUUUCCUCUGUGAGAACUUCCGUCUUGGCCAGGCCCUCACAAAGUGGCAACACAGGUGGCCACCAAUGGUUCCGGCUUAGCUACUGCAGGGAAAGAAUUCUUCUUUGUCCCAGAAGAGCCAGCCAAAGUCUGAGGGUGGACUCUCAGGGGCAGGCUUGUGACAUCUGGACAUCCCUGAACAGAGCACAGUGGCCAGGCCUGGAGCCGAACCAUGAGGUGUGCCUCACUCAGACCGCAGAAACUGACAUGACAGAGUGGCUUCU
This 2386-nucleotide long non-coding RNA is filed under the name Homo sapiens (human). RNAcentral describes it as "non-protein coding lnc-WHRN-4:1". Lineage: Eukaryota; Metazoa; Chordata; Mammalia; Primates; Hominidae. The record is from RNAcentral.